Molecule: transfer RNA, 61 nt
Filed under: Diaphanes pectinealis
Lineage: Eukaryota; Metazoa; Arthropoda; Insecta; Coleoptera; Lampyridae
Description: tRNA-Arg
Source: RNAcentral
AAAUAAGAAACAAAAUUUUGUAAUUAGUUUCGACCUAAUCCCAGGUAAUCACCCUUAUUUU